AGAGCAGAUCAGAGGCAGGGGAAAACCACGCAGAAGCAGGAGCUGAAGACCUCAGACCGGCACCAGGGACAGCUUAAUGAAGACAAACUGAAGGGGAAACUGAGAUCCUUAGAAAACCAGCUGUACACCUGUACCCAGAAAUACUCCCCUUGGGGAAUGAAAAAAGUACUACUGGAGAUGGAAGACCAGAAAAACAGCUAUGAGCAGAAGGCCAAGGAGUCACUGCAGAAAGUGCUGGAGGAGAAAAUGAAUGCAGAGCAGCAACUACAGAGCACACAGGUAUGGGGAUGCCACAUAGACAUGGGGCUGAGGACUCCAGACAGCUUGGGGAACAAGGAAGCCAGCUGCACAACUCCCUGGAACUCUCUCCUCUCUGAUCUCCACCAGCGAUCCCUGGCCCUGGCAGAGCAGAAGUGUGAAGAGUGGAGGAGCCAGUAUGAGGCUCUGAAGGAGGACUGGAGGACCCUUGGGACCCAGCACAGGGAGCUGGAGAGCCAACUCCACGUGCUUCAGUCCAAACUGCAGGUACCAGGCACUGGGGGUGGGGAGGGAAGACAGGGUAUGGGGAGGAGGGAUGGUGAUGAAAGAAGCUAUUCUGGAUUAGGGACUCCAAAGACAGCUGACAGCAUCUGGCUUUCAGUACCUCAGUCACCACUACUUUGUACCAAAUUCACUGUUUUGGCUCUGAAAUCUAAUUUUGAGUUUAGCAAGGAUGUCUGCAUUGCUCAUGCAAAUGAACUAAGCGUUCAUUGGAAUGACACCAUCACCACCCAAAUGAAAAGAACUGGCUGGAAUAUUCAUCAGCCUACUAAUGUCAUCUCCCAACCCACUCUCCAAAAUCCAUCCCAAAAAAGCAUCCAGUUCAGAAUUGCUCACUGUUGGCACAGAAAGAAUGUCACUAAUUUAUUUACAGGUGAGUACUAACACUUUCUGCCAAUGUGUUUUUUAAGCAAUUAUAUUUAGCAAUUACAAUUAUACUCUUGGCAUCCUCAAGGGUUCCAUCAUCUUCAAUCUGUCCUAAGCCUCAGUUUCCCCAUCUCUAAAAUGAGGAUAAUAGUACCUACAUCAUAAGGUGGUUCUGAGUAUUAAGUAAGACGAUCCAUGUAAAGCACUUAGCACAAUGCCUGGCACAUAAAAGCACUCAGUAAAUAUUAGCUAUUAUUUUGCAUAGAUUUAUUUACCUGGUUUGGAAUUUUGAGGAUCCACCUCAAAAGCUGAUCUUUGUAAUUUUCCUGAAGCAGGGCUCAGAACAGCCCAUUUGAUAAGAGACAGAGUAUGUGAGUCUUAUCAAAGGAGUGAACCCAGCUGGUCACUCUGCGUGGUAUCCACAUCUCAACCUUUGUUGUUCUCUUCUUCCCAUUACCUAUAAGGCAACUCCUAUGAAGAUUUUUGUGGGGGGUUUUUUAACUUUGAAUCUUUGUGGAAAAAAAAAGACCCUAACCAAAAAAAAAUUGAUACUGCCAGAAGAAGAAAAAAGAGAAAACGAAACCAUCUAGAAAACUAAUGACUUCGUAUUCCUUAAUUUGGUGAUUUACCGAAGUGUCAAGACAUGAGUCCCACACCAAUGACAACCACUUACAUUUCCCCUAGAAUGGCAGAUUUUUUAAAGUACUGGGUUUCCUAAAGCAAUUCUUAUUUUAUAUAUUCUAAUUUAUGUAAAUGAAUGUGUCACUUAGACCUGUCACUAGAGAUGGUUUAGAAAAUAAACUUACACUACACAUGCCUCAGUCCACUUCAAAACUACUGGCACAUGCCUGUAGUCCCAGCUACUCAGAAGGCUAAGGUGGGAGGAUUGCCUGAGCCCAAGAGGUCGAGGCUGCAAUGAGCUAUGAUGGCACCACUGCACUCCAGUCUGGGUGAAAAAGUGAGACCCCCAUCUCUAAAUAUAAAAAAAAAAAUAAAAGACACGAGUUCCUUGUGAAUAUCAAAAGUCUAAUCUGCUGUUAUAAAUGUGAGGAACAAAGCAAAGGGAAGAAUAGGAAAAAAGAAAGAUUUCUCUAUUUUCUCAUCUCCCUAACAUUCCAUCUCUAAAAUUCCAGAAUUUUCUAUAUUUUCCUCUUCCAUGGUACCCGCCCCCCAACCUCCACCCCAACACUGACCUCCUUCUAUAUCGGCCCCUCCUCCUCCUUACAGGGAGCAGAUAGCAGGGACUUACAGAUGAACCAGGCCCUGCGAUUUUUGGAAAAUGAGCACCAGGAACUGCAGGCCAAGAUUGAAUGCCUGCAAGGGGACAGAGACCUGUGCAGCUUGGAUACCCAGGACCUACAAGGUACUCUUCUCCUUGGAGGCCUUGGGCACAUGGCAGCCAUGGCCAAGUGAGCUAAGAAAAAAGAAACUGAGUUAAGAGAAAGGCUUCAGCCUUUUAUUUGUUUGCUUGAUUUGGUUGAUUGGCUUUAUAGUCUCAUUUUACCUUGAGGGAGAGGCAGGACUGUUUUAAUCAUCCAAAAUUGAAAAUUAAUUUCACUGUACUCGAUAGAGUAUCUUGUUGUCUGAGCUCUCUUUUUUAGCCCAUCCCUCUGGGCCAGAUCACAGCUGCUCCCACAUCAGUCACAUAUGGCAAGGCCACAGUCCUAAUUUGAAAGGGAAAGGUCAGUUGAAACACAAGGCAUAGAGAAAGUCUCUCAGUCACACCCUCUGUGUCCGCUGAUAGAGAGGACUAGAUAGUGUGUAAACACAAGCCUCAAUGCAACCCAACAUUGUUGAUGCACAAAACCUGAGGUACUUGGCUUCUGGUUUACCUCUUCAGAACUGGGACACGAAGACAGAGCAACUUCCAACAGACACAUGUUAAAGGCCACGACAAGACAGCAUCUAUUACUAAUUUCCAUCCUUAAGUACUGAGUUCAUUAAGUCUUGGGUUCCUUUAUUUUGGCUUGCAUUAUUGCAUUUUCAGGUCAACUAAAAAGGUCAGAGGCGGAGAAACUCACCCUGGUGACCAGAGUACAGCAGUUGCAGAGUUUGCUUCAGAAUCAAUCCUUACAGCUUCAAGAACAGGAGAAACUCUUAACAAAGAAAGGUCAGCAAAUUUAUCACCACAAAUUCUAAGAUAUUGCUCUUCCCUUACCUGCCUAGAGGCAGCGGGAUGGACUACAUGACCUCCUGGAGUCUCAGCCAGUUCUGGGAGUCUGUUAAGUCUGGGAUGUGUGGGAGCUUUUUAAGGACUGACCAUUGGCUCUGAGGACACUUCAACUAGUUAGCCUUCUAUCCUGAGGUAUAUAAACUGUGAAAAAGGGUUUCUAUUCUCUUUGAAAGCACAUGUCUGUGUUGAACAUUUCAAUAAAUUUAUUUUGAACUC
This 3295-nucleotide small RNA is filed under the name Pongo abelii (Sumatran orangutan). RNAcentral's name for it is "retained intron". The record is from RNAcentral. Lineage: Eukaryota; Metazoa; Chordata; Mammalia; Primates; Hominidae.